RNAcentral lists this ribosomal RNA (120 nucleotides) under Aspergillus pseudoviridinutans. Lineage: Eukaryota; Fungi; Ascomycota; Eurotiomycetes; Eurotiales; Aspergillaceae. The record is from RNAcentral.
ACAUACGACCAUAGGGUGUGGAAAUCAGGGCCUCCCGUCCGCUCAGCCGUACUUAAGCCACACGCCGGCCAGUUAGUAGUUGGGUGGGUGAACAUCAGCGAAUCCUGGCUGUCGUAUGUU